RNAcentral lists this ribosomal RNA (388 nucleotides) under uncultured bacterium. Its description in RNAcentral is "bacterial SSU rRNA". It matches the Rfam family "Bacterial small subunit ribosomal RNA", at positions 28 to 417 of the family's 1533-position model. The record is from RNAcentral.
GACGAACGCUGGCGGCGUGCUUAACACAUGCAAGUCGAACGGUGACGGAGAGCUUGCUCUCCUGAUCAGUGGCGAACGGGUGAGUAACACGUGGGCAACCUGCCCCAGACUUCGGGAUAACGCUUCGAAAGAGGUGCUAAUACCGGAUACGAGCUCCUUGGGCAUCCUUGGAGUUGGAAAGUUUUUCGGUCUGGGAUGGGCCCGCGGCCUAUCAGCUAGUUGGUGAGGUAACGGCUCACCAAGGCGACGACGGGUAGCUGGCCUGAGAGGGCGACCGGCCACACUGGGACUGAGACACGGCCCAGACUCCUACGGGAGGCAGCAGUGGGGAAUAUUGCGCAAUGGGCGAAAGCCUGACGCAGCAACGCCGCGUGAGGGAUGACGGCCU